Molecule: transfer RNA, 73 nt
Filed under: Anaerolineae bacterium
Lineage: Bacteria; Bacillati; Chloroflexota; Anaerolineae
Also listed under: 1 other name
Description: tRNA-Arg
Rfam family: tRNA
About the family: Transfer RNA (tRNA) molecules are approximately 80 nucleotides in length. Their secondary structure includes four short double-helical elements and three loops (D, anti-codon, and T loops).
Source: RNAcentral
GCCCUCGUAGCUCAAAGGACAGAGCGCCUGGCUUCGAACCAGUAGGUUGGGGGUUCGAGUCCCUCCGGGGGUA